RNAcentral lists this long non-coding RNA (7436 nucleotides) under Canis lupus familiaris (dog). RNAcentral describes it as "lncRNA (ENSCAFG00000050466.1)". Lineage: Eukaryota; Metazoa; Chordata; Mammalia; Carnivora; Canidae. The record is from RNAcentral.
CCAAAUUUUAAAACAUAAUAAACACUCUCCAAAGAUAUAUUACAAUGGGCCAGCUACUAAAAACCAUCAUAACAGGGCAAUUGUGAAACUCCAAAUGAAACCUAAUGUUUGAAUGCAUCGCAUAAGAACAUAUUAUAAAAUGGAGAUUCUUAAGGGGAUUUCCACAAUACCUACUAAAGAAUGCAUUAAUCUCAGUUUGCUGGCUUGAUUUUUUUUUUUUGCGGGGGGGGGGUGUCUUCUUGUUCUGCUUAUGUGUAUCAGCUCAGUCCAAAUCUAAAUUAACUUGCAUGACAUCAAAUAGUCUCAAAAAUAUCCUCUUGCAAAAGUUCUCACUUAUAAAUGGUAUGUCCUCAGAAAUAAGACGGUAUUAACAGCCAGUAGAAAGUAUUACGAGCCUCACCAAGAGGUAUGCUUCACUGGAGUCAAGUGUAGCACUACCACGGACACAAGGAAAGACACCCAGGGGUGGUUUGGGAAAUUUACUUUAAAUUAUACCAAUGUGUUUUGAACUAACAUUCUUUCUUAAAAGCAAAAAUUAAGGAUAGAAUUCCAAUAAAAUUGGUCAAAAUCACUGAACUUAGACAAGAAAUAAUCUUUUAAAUCACUUAAUUUAUGUUCUUGGCGAACAGGACAGUCAUUUAAUAAAGAAACUGGAACCUGUCUGCUUUUUCAAGAAUUUAGAAAGAAAUGAUAAUUUACUUUUAAAUGAUAAACUUUUAAACUGUUAAUGACUUUUCUCGAACCCUCAACCCCACUAACUCAAAUUUUAUUUGUGACUGCACAUAUAAAACUAUGUUGCCAUUUAUGUAAUAUUAUAUUGAGUAUAGAAAAAAGAAUCACAACUAUAGCAGCUUAAAACAUAAUAAUUAUUAUACUCUAUAUUAUGGUUUUAGUGAUUGGUCUCAAAGUCAUUUCUAUCAAAGUUCCUUUUCUGUUGAUUUUUUUAAAAAAUUAAUUCAUUACUUCUUUAUUAGAGUAUAUUUUCUGAUUGCCCGUAUAAUAGUUUCAGUAUAAACAGAGAAACAGAAAAAAUACAAAUGAAAACAAGAAAUUUUCCCCACCAUACACACAGACAAAUCACUAACAUUUAGAAUUGUAUCCUUUCAAACAUGGUUUCAAUGCAUAUAAGCACGCAUUAAGUUUUAAAAAACAUAUCAGCAUAGAGUACAUCCCCGAUAAACUGUAAAUCACAAGUAAUUGCCCUUGUUAGCAAAAGUUUUUAAAAAAAUGUUUUUAAGAGCUGCAAAUUUUAUAUUCCUGGAAUAUAUAAUAAUUUAUUUUAAAAUUUUUUGUUUAUUUAUUCAUGAGAGACAGAGAGAGAGAGAGAGAGAGGCAGAGACACAGGCAGAGGGAGAAGCAGGCUCCAUGCAGGGAGCCCAUGUGGGACUCGAUACCCAGUCUCCAGGAUCAUGCCCUGGACUGAAGGUGGCGCUAAACCGCUGAGCCACCCAGGCUGCCCAAUAUAUAAUAAUUUAUUUAACUAAUUUUUAAAUAUUCUCAGGCAUUUAGGUUUCUUCUAAUUUUUCACUAUUAUAAUUUACAUUACUGUGAAUAUCUUUUAUAUACUUUUUAUAUUCGUUAUUUCUUAGAUAUAGAAUUGCUAUGUCACAAGGGCCAAGAUGUUUAAUGCUUUGAUAUAAUUGCCCAAUUCCUCCAGAGAGACAGAAAUUAUACCUUUUCCCACCUGUAUCAUCAUAGUCCAGCCAUGUUGGAGAUGAUCAUUGCGUUAGAUAGCCUCUAAAAUGGUGUCCAAUGAUUCUCUCCCCUUCAGAGUAGGGUGCACUUAGUGUCUUGGUUCUAACGAAUAGAACAUAGCAGAAAUGAUGGGCUAUCACUUCAGAGACUGAGUUAUAAAAAGACUAUUUCCAUCUUGUUCUCUCUCUCUCUCUCUCUCUCAUCACUUAAUGCUGAGAAAAGCAAGCAUCCGUGUUGUUGGAAGUCCAGUGGAGAGGCAGGCAGGGGAUGAGUUUGAAAGAGACUCCUUUGGCUUCAGUUCAAUCUUUCAAGGCAACAUCAUAAAAAACCUUGAGCCAGAACCAACCCUGAGCUACCCCAGAUGCUUGACUCACAGAAACUGUGAGAAACAGUCUGUUAUUUUAAGCUGCUGAUAGUUAGGGGAAGUUGUUCAGUAGCCAUAAUUGUAACUAAGAUAAUCAUUUUUUUCUAUCUUUACUGAUUUGCUGUAUCAAUAGAAAGUUUGAACAUUGUUUUCCCUUGCUUCAUUGACCAUUUAUAGUUAUUUUAUUAAAAGUGAUUUGUCUUAUUUUCCCUUUUCCUUAUUAAUUCAUGAGAGCUAACUAUGUAUAAAAGGUGCAUCUUUAACCGUCAUAUGUUGCAAAUAUUGUUUUCUCAGUUUUCCAGUUUGUUUAUACUUUUCUGGACACUGUUGUUGUUGACAUGAAAGUCUUUCAAAUUUUUUACUCUAUCCAUAUUUCCAUUUAUAGUUUCUUCUUUUGUGUUUAUGCAAAGAAAAUCUUCCCCCCAAGUUAAAUACAUAUCCACCUAUAUUUUCUAUUAGUUUUAGCUAAUAAAAUAAUAAACAUGUAACCAUUUAAUCUAUUAAAAUUAUAUUUGUAUGAUAUGAGGUAAAAAUAGACCUUUUACUUUCCAAAUACAUUUCUGAUGGUUCCAUAAAUAUUUAUUUAGUAGGAUUUUCUCAAAUGGGUUUAAAUUCUGUCUUUAUAUAGUAAAUUCUUAGAGUAGCAGUUCUCAAGGUGUGGUCCAUGGAUCUCAGGAAUUUCUUAGAAAAUGUCACAGCCUCCACAAGUUUAAAACUAUUUCACUUGUCUUAACUUUUGCACUGAAGCAAAGUCUAUGGCAGGUGGAACUUUGGGAUGCCUUAGCACCAGUCAAGGCAGUUUUAACACAUAUGUGCUAGGAAUCAUUGUAUUCUUCAUGUCCACACACUUGCACUUAAGAAGGCAAGCCAGCUUGCUUAAAAAUAACUUUGAAGAAGCCACAAAAAUUGUUAAUCUUAGUGAAUUCCAACCCGUGAGGGGCUCCCUUGAGGGGCUUCCAACUCCUGAUUUUGGCUCCGGUCAUGAUCUCAGGGUUGUGAGAUCAAGCUUGGUUAGGGCUCCCUUCUCAGUGGCAAGUCUGCUUCUCUGCCUCUCCCUCUUCCCCUUCCUUGGUACACGUGUGUGUCUAUGUGUGUGCACACACAUGUAUGCUCUCUCUUUCUCUCAAAUAAAUAAAUACAUCUUUAAAAAAAUUAAAAAAUAGAAUCUCAAACCUUGAUAUUCAACCUUUUAAUAUUCUGUGUGACAUAAUAGAAAGUACACCUAAAAUACGUCUACUGUAUAGUGAAAAUGAUAGUUGUUUUGAGGAAAAACAUUUGUGCAAUUGUUUUAAUUGAGAGCUUCUUCAUGAAACACAUUUUACUUGAAAAAAUAACUGGAUAGACAAAUAAGGGUCAUUUUGACUCAGGUACCCAGCAGACAUUUUCUUGAAAAUGAACUAAAUGAACUAAAUGGACCUGCCACUUUAAGGAAAAACAAUUUAAAGUAUUGCCACAUGUAAAUUUUUAGCUUUCAAGUGAAUGUUAGAAUUUUGGGAAACUUGUAACUAACAUCAUAAUUUUGACAGCCUCCCAAUACUUAAAGAUCUUUCUGAUGAGAUCAGUGAUAAUAAUAACAAAUGUGAUUUUUUAACAUUGUGUGAUAAAAUCUGUCAGCAUGUAGAACAUCUGUAUAACUCAAUUCAAAGCCAAAACAGAAAAAUGUAUUGUAGGGUACAAGAGAUUCAUUUAAUGAUAAGGCUUCAGAUUUUAGAUUGCAGCUAAUCUUUAAGAAACUACCAUGUGGUGAAUCCUAGUUUAGCAUCAGAGAAACAUACUGACAGUUCUCCCAUUAUUUAACUAUACAUUUGUGUGAGGCCAGAUUUGCCUAAUAAACAUUAACCAAAACAACAUACGGCAACUAACUGAAUGCAGAGGCAGACAUAGGAACCUAGCUGUCUUUUACUGAGCAUAAUAUUAGAAAGAAUUGCGAAAGUAUAAAACAGUGGCACUCAACACUAUUUACAUUUUAGAAAAUAUACUUUUCUAAAUUAAAGCAUUUGUGUUAAUAUAUAACGGGUGUGUCAUGGCAAUUUGAAUGAGUUAAUAUCGGUGAAUAUUUUAAUAUUUUCUUAGUUUUAAUUACUCAUAUGGUAAAUAUUACUAGAUAUAACCCACAUAAACAAGACCCCUUUGGGAUUCUACUUUCCUUUUUUUCUUUGCUCAUGUUGUGUCUACUAGAUCCUUUCUAUUAGCAUUUAAAUAUACUCAAGUCCCAAAAUACUCUUAGCUCCUCUUCUAUAUACUUCUUCUCACCUUCCCUUCAAAAUCAAACACAUUCUCUCUGCUCUUGGCUUCCUGGUAAAAGCAAAUGUAGUCUUCCUUCUUCACUGGCAUCUCAUACUCAGUCGACUUGGACAACUCAUCAUCUUCUAUCCUGCCUUUCCAAGUAUGGAGUCACUCAAGUCUAAGUCCUAGGAUUUCUUCGUGUCUCAUUCUUUCUUCUGUCAAUCAGUUCACCCAUAUGUAGGCCUAUAUGAAGUCCAUCAAUAUUUACUUCUCUAUUGUAUUUCAUUUCACAUAAACACAUGCUUUUUUGCCUUCUCCCUUUUUCAUGUUACUAUAAAUAUUUAGUUGAAAACCACUGCUAUAAAUGAAAAUGCCUCAUCCAUCUUCUGUGUGGAUCUAUGAGCCAAAACGCAGCAUUAAACAGGGGGAAAGUGGAUUAGGUCCAAAGUUCUGCCAAUUAUAUUCCAUAUUGAUAUGUUUUUAAUGGAUAUACAAGGGUACAGACAAGACUUUGGAAAGGGCAGGCACUUCUGAUUUAUACAAAAGACUUAAGCUGCUGCUAGUGGAAACUGGUUGUGUAAGUGAAUUAAAACACAGUCCACUACAAAGUCCUAUACUUCCCUUGAAGAAAUUUAUAAGCUUCUGUUAUCAGUAGCAUAAAUCAGCCACACAACUACAUCAACCAAACCAAAUUAUAUAGAUUCUAAUAAGGAACCCUGUGGCUGGAAUAAUUCCAUAGAAACUUAACUGCUAGGUCUGUUUUGUUUUAUACCAAAAGUUUUCCCCAAUCUUGCUGUUAUAAAUGAUAAUUUCUUUGUUAUCAGGUCUUCUGGGACUCUCCUACAUCAAAUUCCACUUUUAGCCAUCAGUUUUAAAACGUUUCAUCAGUUGGACCUACCAAAUUUAAAGUUGGGAUUUUCUCAUCUCUGCUCAUACCAUUCCAACCCACAGUGAGGAAAAUUUCAUUUCUGGAUUCCAAUUGCUGCAGUCAUUUGCCUCUAUGUAUGGUAACUUUUAUAAAAACUGUUUGGACUCUUAAAGCCUGCCCUUUAAAGGUGGUUAUUUUCUUCUAAGUACUAUUUUUAGAAAAAUAUAUAGCUGCCACAAAGCUUCACAGUUAGGUAAGACUAGACUGCUGAAUCUCUAAGCACAUCAAACAGGCCAAGAACAAUGCCAAUAAAUUAUUUAUUCUCUGUCAAAGGUGCUAAAAUAUAGGAGUUCAAUAAGAAGCAUGAUUUUAUUUUUAAAAGGCAAAGAAUAUCUGGAGAACAUUUGGCAUAUUUCUGAAGCUCUUUGAAAACCACACUGCGGGAAGGAAAAGAUGCACCUAAUCUUGAGAGAGACUUCUGAGUGUAAAAAGGUGUGUGGGUACCUUAAAAUGAGUCAUUUUCUUUUGAUAUAGCAUCACCAUGAAGUAGAUAUCAUUCUGCUCUCUCAGUAGGUAGGACUAGUGAACUCAAGUAGGUUUAAGUGACAUGUCAAAGAUCACACAUGGCAUUUUAAUAUCACAAAAAUGAUAUUUUUGAGAUAUUUUCCAAUGCUCUUUAUUUAUUGUACCCAUUCUACCAUUAAGGAUAAGCCCAAAGUUUAAUGUCUUAAGAAGGAAAGGGUUGGUAUAGGGCAGAUCCUACCUAGAAUAAAGAGAUCAUUCCUCAGCUUUGACCCUCAAGGCUGAGUGUGUUUAAGCCCAUGGUGAAGUUAAAAAAUGUUCUCAUUUUUCUUUCCUCUUUUAUCUCUCUCUCUUUCAUUGGCAUCGUGCCCUGCAUCACCAAACCCAGACAUCUGGUAGUCAUCCUCAAUUCUCUAUUGAUUUUACUCAAUUCUUUCAAUUCUGUUGAUUUUACUUCCACAGAAUAGGAAAUAGGGACUUCACUUCUUACAGUGUUCAAUUCUGACAUCCUACAUCAGAGUCUCGUGAUUUCUAAGUUGGUUGCCAAAAAUCCUUUGAUGUUGUCCUUGUCUUCCAUUAUGUACUGCUCUGUAUUCUCCAUCAUCCUCUUUACCACAUUGGGAAUAAUCAUCAGAAACACAAAACUUAUGCUACCACGCAACCUCUAGUUAAACUAAUUCAAUUGUUCAGUUACCUAUAGAAUAAGGCCCAAAUUAAUUUGUAGAGAAAUAAAAUACCUUUGUGAUAUUGUUGCUGCCUCUCUUUCACUGCACUUUUGCCCUCCUCCUGUGCAUUUUGAAGCUACACCAAAUGACAAAGAGGUGCAAGAACACACACUAAUCUUUCUCAGCCAAAUGUGCAUGUUACUUGUUAAGUUUGUUCAGAGUGCCUCUGAUCAUGGGGGACUCUGAGCUUAAGUAAUAUGUACCCUAAGAUGUUUCCUGGACUCUGACUAGUCACCUCUUCUACCUCUCUUUCCAGAGUUGAACACUCCCUCUUUUGUCUCCCAUGGAAUUGUGGACACUCCUUUUCAUAAUUACCUAUGUUUGUAUCUUCAGCCAAACUAGAAGGCACUAGUUAUAUUUUAUUUUUAGCUCCACUUAAGAAAAAUCUGUCACUUGGAUGAAAACAGAAAAGAGAAGAUUACCAUGGCAUAAUUUUGACACUUCUGAAAACCCACAUCUGUCUGUGUGAUGUGAAGGUGGAGAUGUGCAGUAAACAAUUGGUCUUGUCUCGAUACUUUGGUCUCAAAUUUAGGAGACUGAUUAGCACUAGAGAUAGAGAUUUGGGAAUCAUCAGUGAUGGUAGCCAAGGUCGAGGUCAUAGGGAAAAAACUUAAAGAAAGGGAGCUAAAGUGGUCAAGACAGAAGAGAGUUUCCAGCAAAAGUGGAUGUCCAGCAAAGAUGAUAACUCAAAAGCACCCAUUAGAUUAGGUGUUUUGUUUAGGGAUAAUCUUAGUAGGAAUAUCAUUUUGUAAAGAUUUAUUAAUUGAUUUGAGAAAGAGAGAGCAUGAGCAAGGGGAGAGGUAGAGGGAGGAGAGAGAGAAUCCUCAAGCAGACUCUCCUCACUCAGGCACACUUCUGGUGGAAUAAUCUUAGUAGGAAAAUCACUUUUUAAAGGGAAGGGAAAGGGUGCCUGGAUGACUCAGUUGGUUAAGUCUCUGACUCUUGAUCUCAGCUCAGGUCUUGAUCUCAGGGCUAGGAGUUCAAGCCACACAUGCCCAGCAUGGAGCCUAUGUAAAAAAAGGAAAAAGAAAAAAAA